Molecule: small RNA, 245 nt
Filed under: Otolemur garnettii (small-eared galago)
Lineage: Eukaryota; Metazoa; Chordata; Mammalia; Primates; Galagidae
Description: Metazoan signal recognition particle RNA (ENSOGAG00000034606.1)
Source: RNAcentral
GCUGGGCAUUGUGGCAGGCGCCUGUGGUCCCAGCUACUUGGGAGGCUGAGGCAGGAGACUCGAUUGAGCCCAGUAGUUGGAGGUUGCUGUGAGUUGUAAUGUCAUAGCACUCUACCCAGGGGGACAGCCUGAGGCUCUGUCUCAAAAAAAAGGACAAGUGUCUCAGUAUGUCACCCUUGGUAGAGUGCUGUGGCAUGACAGCUCACAUCAACCUCAAAAUCUUGGGCUUAAAUGAUUCUCCUGCC